AGAGUUUGAUCAUGGCUCAGGAUGAACGCUGACAGAAUGCUUAACACAUGCAAGUCUACUUGAAAGUUCUUCGGAAUGAUUAGGGUGGCGGACGGGUGAGUAACGCGUAAAGAACUUGCCUCAUAGCCUGGGACAACAGUUGGAAACGACUGCUAAUACCGGAUAUUAUGUUUCUUUGGCAUCUUAGAUUCAUGAAAGCUAUAUGCGCUAUGAGAGAGCUUUGCGUCCUAUUAGCUUGUUGGUGAGGUAACGGCUCACCAAGGCGACGAUAGGUAGCCGGCCUGAGAGGGUGAACGGCCACAAGGGGACUGAGACACGGCCCUUACUCCUACGGGAGGCAGCAGUGGGGAAUAUUGGACAAUGGACCAAAAGUCUGAUCCAGCAAUUCUGUGUGCACGAUGAAGGUCUUCGGAUUGUAAAGUGCUUUCAGUAGGGAAGAAGUAAGUGACGGUACCUACAGAAGAAGCGACGGCUAAAUACGUGCCAGCAGCCGCGGUAAUACGUAUGUCGCAAGCGUUAUCCGGAAUUAUUGGGCAUAAAGGGCGUCUAGGUGGUUUACUAAGUCUGAUGUUAAAAUGCGGGGCUCAACUCCGUAUUGCGUUGGAAACUGGUUUACUAGAGUCUUGGAGAGGUGGGCGGAACUACAAGUGUAGAGGUGAAAUUCGUAGAUAUUUGUAGGAAUGCCGAUGACGAAGGUAGCUCACUGGACAAGUACUGACACUAAAGCGCGAAAGCUAGGGGAGCAAACAGGAUUAGAUACCCUAGUAGUCC
This 771-nucleotide ribosomal RNA is filed under the name uncultured bacterium. RNAcentral describes it as "bacterial SSU rRNA". It matches the Rfam family "Bacterial small subunit ribosomal RNA", at positions 8 to 796 of the family's 1533-position model. The record is from RNAcentral.